RNAcentral lists this ribosomal RNA (292 nucleotides) under uncultured bacterium. Its description in RNAcentral is "partial 16S ribosomal RNA". The record is from RNAcentral.
GGACUACUGGGGUUUCUAAUCCUGUUUGCUACCCACGCUUUCGCGUCUCAGCGUCAGUAUCGGUCCAGAGAGCCGCCUUCGCCACCGGUGUUCCUCCCAAUAUCUACGGAUUUCACUCCUACACUGGGAAUUCCACUCUCCUCUCCCGUACUCAAGUCUGCCAGUUUCCAAUGCACUUCCCAGGUUGAGCCCGGGGCUUUCACAUCAGACUUAACAAACCGCCUACACGCGCUUUACGCCCAAUAAUUCCGAACAACGCUCGCACCCUCCGUAUUACCGCGGCGGCUGGCAC